CUUGUUCCAUAAACCAAGUACUUCAGUCAGUGCGCUAUGCCAAUGUCGCUAGCUCUACACGCCUAUGUGAUAAUAAGGAUGACAGAAAUAACCCUGUGGAGGGAGUAAGAUCACUACAAAGCAGAAAACUGCAAGACAACCAAAGGACCCUAGAGACUUCUGUAUGCUGUGACAUGGGCCUGGAUGGUGAAACAUCUGCUUCCAGCUGCUUGACUAUUGGGGCCUUCAGUUUUACCUUACAUCACAGCAAGAGUCUCCUUAUCUCUGUCUCAUAGUCAUUUAACAUGUAUUAUGUGUCCACUCAUUCAUGAAAACUGCUACAGACACAAGAAUUGCACCUGAGUGAUGAUAGCCAGCUAGCCGAGCCAUUGCGUGAGAGAUCAAAUCAAACUUUGUCACAUGCACCGAAUACAACAAGUGUGGACUUUACCUUAAAAUGCUUACUUACAAGCCCUUAACCAACAGUGCAGAUCAAUAAGAAAAUAUUUACCAAGUA
This is a long non-coding RNA of Oncorhynchus gorbuscha (pink salmon), 496 nucleotides long. RefSeq lists it as uncharacterized. The record is from RefSeq and is a predicted model, not a curated record. The transcript has 3 exons. NCBI's taxonomy places the organism in Eukaryota, Metazoa, Chordata, Actinopteri, Salmoniformes, Salmonidae.